UAUAAAGUCUUUCAGCACAGUGAGUGG
RNAcentral lists this non-coding RNA (27 nucleotides) under Mus musculus (house mouse). Lineage: Eukaryota; Metazoa; Chordata; Mammalia; Rodentia; Muridae. The record is from RNAcentral.